RNAcentral lists this ribosomal RNA (497 nucleotides) under uncultured bacterium. RNAcentral describes it as "partial 16S ribosomal RNA". It matches the Rfam family "Bacterial small subunit ribosomal RNA", at positions 28 to 507 of the family's 1533-position model. The record is from RNAcentral.
GAUGAACGCUGGCGGCGUGCCUAAUACAUGCAAGUCGAGCGAACGGACGAGAAGCUUGCUUUUCUGAUGUUAGCGGCGGACGGGUGAGUAACACGUGGAUAACCGACCUAUAAGACUGGGAUAACUUCGGGAAACCGGAGCUAAUACCGGAUAAUAUUUUGAACCGCAUGGUUCAAAAGUGAAAGACGGUCUUGCUGUCACUUAUAGAUGGAUCCGCGCUGCAUUAGCUAGUUGGUAAGGUAACGGCUUACCAAGGCAACGAUGCAUAGCCGACCUGCGAGGGUGAUCGGCCACACUGGAACUGAGACACGGUCCAGACUCCUACGGGAGGCAGCAGUAGGGAAUCUUCCGCAAUGGGCGGAAGCCUGACGGAGCAACGCCGCGUGAGUGAUGAAGGUCUUCGGAUCGUAAAACUCUGUUAUUAGGGAAGAACAUAUGUGUAAGUAACUGUGCACAUCUUGACGGUACCUAAUCAGAAAGCCACGGCUAACUACGCG